This 447-nucleotide ribosomal RNA is filed under the name Triticum aestivum (bread wheat). RNAcentral describes it as "partial small subunit ribosomal RNA". Lineage: Eukaryota; Viridiplantae; Streptophyta; Magnoliopsida; Poales; Poaceae. The record is from RNAcentral.
AUGCGGCAACGUAAGUGGCCUGGGAACCCGGUGUGCUCCUUCUGCCAACAAAUUGAAACUUCCCAGCAUUUGUUCUUUGGCUGCCCUAUUGCCAGAGUUGUUUGGCGAUCUAUUGGGGUGACUCUUGGGACUGACCUUUGUCCCAGAAACUGUUGGCAGUUUUUUGUGUGGUGCUACUCCUUCCUACCCAGAUAUGAAUCAUUCUAUACUGUGGCUUUGGGUGCGGUUACUUGGUCUAUCUGGCUGGCACGGAAUAGUGCUACCUUUGAGAAGAUGAUUAAAUCUCCUUUCGAGAUUGUCUUUACGGUGGUCUCUUUUCUUCUAUAUUGGGCAGGUCUUCAGGUUGGAUACGAUGUCAAGCAACUUCGAGCAGGGGCGGAGAUGAUUCGCGGCGGGACUCUGAUGCUGAUGAGGGCAUGUGAUACAACUAUCAAGAUUGGAGACUGA